Molecule: ribosomal RNA, 433 nt
Filed under: uncultured bacterium
Lineage: Bacteria
Description: partial 16S ribosomal RNA
Rfam family: Bacterial small subunit ribosomal RNA
Source: RNAcentral
AACGAACGCUGGCGGCAUGCCUAACACAUGCAAGUCGAACGAGACCUUCGGGUCUAGUGGCGCACGGGUGCGUAACGCGUGGGAACCUGCCUUUAGGUUCGGAAUCACUCAGAGAAAUUUGAGCUAAUACCGGAUGAUGUCUUCGGACCAAAGAUUUAUCGCCUUUAGAUGGGCCCGCGUUGGAUUAGCUAGUUGGUGGUGUAAAGGCCUACCAAGGCGACGAUCCAUAGCUGGUCUGAGAGGAUGCUCAGCCACACUGGGACUGAGACACGGCCCAGACUCCUACGGGAGGCAGCAGUGGGGAAUAUUGGACAAUGGGCGAAAGUCUGAUCCAGCAAUGCCGCGUGAGUGAUGAAGGCCUUAGGGUUGUAAAGCUCUUUUACCCGAGAUGAUAAUGACAGUAUCGGGAGAAUAAGCUCCGGCUAACUCCGUG